RNAcentral lists this ribosomal RNA (1206 nucleotides) under metagenome. RNAcentral's name for it is "bacterial SSU rRNA". It matches the Rfam family "Bacterial small subunit ribosomal RNA", at positions 298 to 1498 of the family's 1533-position model. The record is from RNAcentral.
GGUUGGCCCGCCACAUCGGGACUGAGACACUGCCCGGACCUCCACGGAGGGCUGCAGUAACGAAUAUUGCGCAAUGGGCGAAAGCCUGACGCAGCGACGCCGCGUGUAGGAUGAAGCCCCUCGGGGUGUAAACUACUGUCAGGGGUUAGAAAGUAUGCUUCGGCAUAUUGAUCAGCCCCGGAGGAAGUCACGGCUAACUUCGUGCCAGCAGCCGCGGUAAUACGAAGGUGGCGAGCGUUGUUCGGAAUCACUGGGCUUAAAGCGCGCGUAGGCGGAAUGGUGGGUGUCUUGUGAAAUCCCUCGGCUUAACCGAGGAAUUGCUUGGCAAACUACCAUUCUUGAGGCAAGUAGGGGUGCAUGGAACUCUUGGUGGAGCGGUGGAAUGCGUAGAUAUCAAGAGGAACGCCAAAGGUGAAGACAGUGCACUGGGCUUGUCCUGACGCUGAGGUGCGAAAGCGUGGGGAGCGAACGGGAUUAGAUACCCCGGUAGUCCACGCCGUAAACGAUGCCUACUAGGUUGUGGAGGUUCUGACACCCUCACAGUCGAAGCAAAAGUGUUAAGUAGGCCGCCUGGGGAGUACGGUCGCAAGGCUAAAACUCAAAGGAAUUGACGGGGGCUCACACAAGCGGUGGAGCAUGUGGAUUAAUUCGAAUCAACGCGCAGAACCUUACCUGGGUUUGACAUGUUUGGAUGCUUGCCGGGAAACUGGUUAAGCUGCCUUCGGGUGAAACUUGCACAGGUGCUGCAUGGCUGUCGUCAGCUCGUGUCGUGAGAUGUCGGGUUAAGUCCUUUAACGAGCGAAACCCUUGCCGUUAGUUGCCAGCGGGUCAUGCCGGGGACUCUAGCGGGACUGCCGGUGUUAAACCGGAGGAAGGUGGGGAUGACGUCAAGUCCUCAUGGCCUUUAUGCCCAGGGCUUCACACGUGCUACAAUGGUGACUACAGAGCGAUGCGAUACCGUGAGGUGGAGCAAAUCGCAAAAAAGUCGCCUCAGUUCGGAUUGCAGGCUGUCAACUCGCCUGCAUGAAGUUGGAAUCGCUAGUAAUCGCGUAUCAGCUACGACGCGGUGAAUGUGUUCCUGAGCCUUGUACACACCGCCCGUCAAGUGAUGGGAGCUGGAGUACCCAAAGUCGGUUUGCCAACCUUUUAUUAGGAGGCGACUGCCUACGGUAAGCUCGGUGACUGGCACUAAGUCGUAACAAGGUA